GGGCCUUUAGCUCAGUCGGUAGAGCAGUUGCCUUUUAAGCAAUUGGUCGCGGGUUCGAGUCCCGCAGGGCCCACCA
RNAcentral lists this transfer RNA (76 nucleotides) under Candidatus Shapirobacteria bacterium. RNAcentral's name for it is "tRNA-Lys". It matches the Rfam family "tRNA". Rfam says of the family: Transfer RNA (tRNA) molecules are approximately 80 nucleotides in length. Their secondary structure includes four short double-helical elements and three loops (D, anti-codon, and T loops). The record is from RNAcentral. Lineage: Bacteria; Candidatus Shapironibacteriota.